AAGAAGUGAAGAGGAAAGGAAAGAACACAAACCCUAGGUGGGAAAAUUGAAGAAAAAGUGUGGGAUUUCAAGGGAUUAAGCUAAUAAAGGUAAAAUUUUGUGAUUUUAUCUUGUGAUUUACAUUACCCAUGCUUUCUUUUUCAUUUUCCAUGCUUAGAACUCAAGUUUGCAUGAUGAACCCAUGCUGGCCGAAUUUGAAAGGAGAGGUUUUGAGCAUUGAUUUUGCUAGAUUUCAAGCUAAUUAAGUGUUUUUGGUUGUUUGGUAAUGGAAAGUAUGAAAAUCUAAUAAGGAAUCACUUUGUUCUUCACAAACCCACAAGAGGCCGAAUUUUUUAGGGACGAUAUUAAGGCUGAAAUUGAUGAUAUUUCAUAAUAUUUUGGUGGUAUUUAAUGAUUGGUGAGGCUAGAAAUUUAAUGAGAAAUUUUGACAUGAAAAUCUGAAUUUUUAUCUAAUGUAUAGACAUGUGCAAUUUAUGGUUUGGACUGAUAAAUUGAAUCAUAUUCACAGUCAUUGAGGUAUUUUAAGUAUAAUUGGAGUGUAGAAAGUGAAAGAAAUCGAUUUGGAGUUAAAUUGGAGGUUUUAGCCAAUUACAUUGAGAAUAGUGCGAAUUAGGUCGAAUAUCGUAUUUAAACGGCUAUUCGGACAUUUUGCAUCACAUUUCGUGCAUUCAUAUAGAUUUAUAGAGCCUGAAAUAGUUUAUGAUAAAUUGACACAAUUUAUUAAACUUCGUGUCACGUAUGAUGUAUAGGUGGUGAGCCCUCUAAUAAGGGUAAAGAGAUUGUGCCCGAAGAUCAGGAAUAGGAGUAUAUCGAAUUCCUAGUACUGUGAGUAACCUUACUAUCAUCUUAAUUAUCUAAAGUGAUUUUUAUUCAAUUUUGUGAAUUUUAUGAAAAAUGAAUUAAAUGAUUAAUUUUUUGAUUUUAUAAACAAAAUGUGAUUUAAUGAAAUGAUUUCAUAAAAUUGUUUUAAAAUUGAAUGAUGGUUUGAAAAUAGAGUAAUUGGAGACCAUUUGAUGUAUUGUGAAUUUAUGGUUCUAAUUGAUUGGCUUAUGACAAUAUUGGCAUGAAUGGCUGAAUUGGUAUUUGUGUUGAAAUGAAUAAACUGUUAUUUGCCUUGAUAGGCUAGAUAAUGAUAAAAUUGCCAUGUCAUACUGUUGAAUUUUUAUUGUAUGGUGGGAUAUUGAUUAGCUUACUACAGUGGGCGGGUUCCGUGGACCAGCCUAUUAGAGGGGCACGGUAACCCCGUUAUAUCUUAUCUCAGUAUGAGAGGCAUGGGUGGAUAACUCCUGAGGUUAACACUUUUAGAGUUCACUUCACAUCAAACCAUCACGUGAGGGGAAACUCAGCCAACGCCAAGGAACGACUAUGUUUUCAAAAUAAAAACAUAAUUUAUGUGUACAUGACUUUUUAACAGCCUUGGCGGACUCGGUUGGGAUAGCCUUCGAUCAAGGUAUCCUUGAUAACUGGGUAUGAGAAUGAUUUUGGCACGAGCCAAAGCUUUUAAGAAAUUCAUAAGCCAUAUUAAUUACUCGAUUUAUAUGAAUUGAUUUUAUUUGGUUAAAACAAAGUGAAAGGUGAUGAAUUUCAAUACGUUAAACUAUUUUAUCUGUCUCCAUUUACUCAACUUUAGAUGGUUUAGAUGGUAUCUGUUUACUCACUGAGAUUUUAUAAUCUCACCACCCUCAUUUUCAAUAAUUUCAGGCUCGAGGUAGCCUGUGGAUAGCAGAUAUCGUCAAGGAUUAUAGUUGGCUUUACUACUUCAAAAAAAACUAUAGGUUUACUACCUUUGUGCACUUUUGUUCCUUGUGGGCCCACGAGUCACUGUAAAAUAAAUUUAAUAUCUUGGUUAUCUGUAUUAUAGUACGUAUGAAUUUAUUUAUCUUUUACAUUACAAAAAAAUUAUUUAUCGAUGACUCUAUAAAUAUUAUUUUACAAGAAAUUAGAAUAUUUUUAUUUUAUUCAAAUAGUUGCAAUAUCAUUUUUAAUAAAUUUUUUAGACACCUAAAUUUAUUUUAAAUAUGAAAUAUGUGUUUUCCACUCAUCUACUACAUCUUUAGUCGAGUUCGAAAAAUUUUGAGGAAAAAUGACGAAAAUACUCCUGUGAGGUGAAAAUUAUUUUUGCACGAUUUUGAAAUGAAAAAAGCUUAAAAUUCUUUAAAAACGAGGAUUGGUGAUGAUUACUCACAGGGGAGAUGAAAAAAAAUGGUACUAAAGCCUUGCGAGGUUCCGAUUGGCACUCCGGGUAACGAAUGUCUACCGGGACAUCGCGGCAGUUGUCACGGGCUUGAUGGGAGUACCGGGUCGUGACAGAGUGACAGUGAUGAGCCACAAAAUGAAGAUGAAAGAGAAGCUGCCAACUUAUAUUUCAUGGGAAUCGAUGACUUCAAGGU
Molecule: long non-coding RNA, 2390 nt
Filed under: Theobroma cacao (cacao)
Lineage: Eukaryota; Viridiplantae; Streptophyta; Magnoliopsida; Malvales; Malvaceae
Description: long non-coding RNA (TCAC_LNC003943)
Source: RNAcentral